This is a transfer RNA of 72 nucleotides. It matches the Rfam family "tRNA". Rfam says of the family: Transfer RNA (tRNA) molecules are approximately 80 nucleotides in length. The record is from Rfam.
AACAUGUUAGUUUAAUGGUUAGAAUAUCGUGCUACGGACACGUUGAUAUAAGUUCGAAUCUUAUACAUGUUU